RNAcentral lists this ribosomal RNA (356 nucleotides) under uncultured bacterium. Its description in RNAcentral is "bacterial SSU rRNA". It matches the Rfam family "Bacterial small subunit ribosomal RNA", at positions 772 to 1125 of the family's 1533-position model. The record is from RNAcentral.
ACCGAAUAGAUACCCCGGUAGUCCACGCCCUAAACUAUGCGAACUGGAUGUUGGGUACAUUACGGUACUCAGUGUCGAAAGCUAAACGCGUUAAGUUCGCCGCCUGGGGAGUACGGUCGCAAGACUGAAACUCAAAGGAAUUGACGGGGGCCCGCACAAGCGGUGGAGUAUGUGGUUUAAUUCGAUGCAACGCGAAGAACCUUACCUGGCCUUGACAUCUGUCGAAUCCUGCAGAGAUGCGGGAGUGCCGCAAGGAACGACAAGACAGGUGCUGCAUGGCUGUCGUCAGCUCGUGUCGUGAGAUGUUGGGUUAAGUCCCGCAACGAGCGCAACCCUUGUCCCUAGUUGCCAGCACG